UUUUUGUGGUUGCAGCUACUA
This 21-nucleotide non-coding RNA is filed under the name Arabidopsis thaliana (thale cress). The record is from RNAcentral. Lineage: Eukaryota; Viridiplantae; Streptophyta; Magnoliopsida; Brassicales; Brassicaceae.